UACAGAGGUCUCAAGCGUUGUUCGGAUUCAUUGGGCGUAAAGGGUGCGUAGGUGGCGCGCUAAGUCAGGUGUGAAAUCUCGGAGCUUAACUCCGAAACUGCAUUUGAUACUGGCGUGCUUGAGGACUGGAGAGGAGACUGGAAUUCACGGUGUAGCAGUGAAAUGCGUAGAUAUCGGGAGGAACACCAGUGGCGAAGGCGACUUCCUGGCCUGUUCUUGACGCUGAGGCGCGAAAGCUAGGGGAGCAAACGGG
Molecule: ribosomal RNA, 253 nt
Filed under: uncultured bacterium
Lineage: Bacteria
Description: partial 16S ribosomal RNA
Rfam family: Bacterial small subunit ribosomal RNA
Source: RNAcentral